Molecule: ribosomal RNA, 253 nt
Filed under: uncultured bacterium
Lineage: Bacteria
Description: partial 16S ribosomal RNA
Rfam family: Bacterial small subunit ribosomal RNA
Source: RNAcentral
UACGUAGGGUGCGAGCGUUAAUCGGAAUUACUGGGCGUAAAGCGUGCGCAGGCGGUUCGCUGUGUCCUGUGUGAAAGCCCCGGGCUUAACCUGGGAAUGGCAUGGGAAACUGGCGGGCUGGAGUGUGGCAGAGGGGGGUGGAAUUCCGCGUGUAGCAGUGAAAUGCGUAGAGAUGCGGAGGAACACCGAUGGCGAAGGCAGCCCCCUGGGCUAACACUGACGCUCAGGCACGAAAGCGUGGGGAGCAAAUGGG